AAAACCAUCUCAACUUUCAUUUUUUUGCACAAUAAAAUCCCUUCAACUCCCAAUAGCCAGUUUACACGUAAUUUGUUUGCAUGACUUUCUAGCGUGGCAUCUAUUAUCUCACUCUUCCUAGCAUUGAGUAAAUUUCAUGAAUCUCUCUCUCUAAUCGAAAUAUUUUGAAUCAUCUCUCCUUCAUGCAUGGACCUUUCUCUCUUGAUUUUUCUCUCUAAUAAACUAAAUCUUUUCUCCCUCAAUCCUCACUAAACAAUCAAAGAAAAAUCUCAAAAUCCUAUCUCAAAAUCAAUGCAAUACAAAAUUUGCAAAUUGAAAAAUCAUAAAUCAAAACCUUAAUUGCAUUU
RNAcentral lists this unclassified non-coding RNA (347 nucleotides) under Hevea brasiliensis (rubber tree). The record is from RNAcentral. Lineage: Eukaryota; Viridiplantae; Streptophyta; Magnoliopsida; Malpighiales; Euphorbiaceae.